UGUGUGUUAGUGGAAGCGUCUGGAAAGGCGCGCGAUACAGGGUGACAGCCCCGUACACAAAAAUGCACAUGCUGUGAGCUCGAUGAGUAGGGCGGGACACGUGGUAUCCUGUCUGAAUAUGGGGGGACCAUCCUCCAAGGCUAAAUACUCCUGACUGACCGAUAGUGAACCAGUACCGUGAGGGAAAGGCGAAAAGAACCCCGGCGAGGGGAGUGAAAAAGAACCUGAAACCGUGUACGUACAAGCAGUGGGAGCCUCUUUUAUGGGGUGACUGCGUACCUUUUGUAUAAUGGGUCAGCGACUUAUAUUCUGUAGCAAGGUUAACCGAAUAGGGGAGCCGAAGGGAAACCGAGUCUUAACUGGGCGUUAAGUUGCAGGGUAUAGACCCGAAACCCGGUGAUCUAGCCAUGGGCAGGUUGAAGGUUGGGUAACACUAACUGGAGGACCGAACCGACUAAUGUUGAAAAAUUAGCGGAUGACUUGUGGCUGGGGGUGAAAGGCCAAUCAAACCGGGAGAUAGCUGGUUCUCCCCGAAAGCUAUUUAGGUAGCGCCUCGUGAAUUCAUCUCCGGGGGUAGAGCACUGUUUCGGCAAGGGGGUCAUCCCGACUUACCAACCCGAUGCAAACUGCGAAUACCGGAGAAUGUUAUCACGGGAGACACACGGCGGGUGCUAACGUCCGUCGUGAAGAGGGAAACAACCCAGACCGCCAGCUAAGGUCCCAAAGUCAUGGUUAAGUGGGAAACGAUGUGGGAAGGCCCAGACAGCCAGGAUGUUGGCUUAGAAGCAGCCAUCAUUUAAAGAAAGCGUAAUAGCUCACUGGUCGAGUCGGCCUGCGCGGAAGAUGUAACGGGGCUAAACCAUGCACCGAAGCUGCGGCAGCGACGCUUAUGCGUUGUUGGGUAGGGGAGCGUUCUGUAAGCCUGUGAAGGUGUGCUGUGAGGCAUGCUGGAGGUAUCAGAAGUGCGAAUGCUGACAUAAGUAACGAUAAAGCGGGUGAAAAGCCCGCUCGCCGGAAGACCAAGGGUUCCUGUCCAACGUUAAUCGGGGCAGGGUGAGUCGACCCCUAAGGCGAGGCCGAAAGGCGUAGUCGAUGGGAAACAGGUUAAUAUUCCUGUACUUGGUGUUACUGCGAAGGGGGGACGGAGAAGGCUAUGUUGGCCGGGCGACGGUUGUCCCGGUUUAAGCGUGUAGGCUGGUUUUCCAGGCAAAUCCGGAAAAUCAAGGCUGAGGCGUGAUGACGAGGCACUACGGUGCUGAAGCAACAAAUGCCCUGCUUCCAGGAAAAGCCUCUAAGCAUCAGGUAACAUCAAAUCGUACCCCAAACCGACACAGGUGGUCAGGUAGAGAAUACCAAGGCGCUUGAGAGAACUCGGGUGAAGGAACUAGGCAAAAUGGUGCCGUAACUUCGGGAGAAGGCACGCUGAUAUGUAGGUGAAGCGACUUGCUCGUGGAGCUGAAAUCAGUCGAAGAUACCAGCUGGCUGCAACUGUUUAUUAAAAACACAGCACUGUGCAAACACGAAAGUGGACGUAUACGGUGUGACGCCUGCCCGGUGCCGGAAGGUUAAUUGAUGGGGUCAGCGCAAGCGAAGCUCUUGAUCGAAGCCCCGGUAAACGGCGGCCGUAACUAUAACGGUCCUAAGGUAGCGAAAUUCCUUGUCGGGUAAGUUCCGACCUGCACGAAUGGCGUAAUGAUGGCCAGGCUGUCUCCACCCGAGACUCAGUGAAAUUGAACUCGCUGUGAAGAUGCAGUGUACCCGCGGCAAGACGGAAAGACCCCGUGAACCUUUACUAUAGCUUGACACUGAACAUUGAGCCUUGAUGUGUAGGAUAGGUGGGAGGCUU
This 1846-nucleotide ribosomal RNA is filed under the name Escherichia coli. Its description in RNAcentral is "partial 23S ribosomal RNA". It matches the Rfam family "Bacterial large subunit ribosomal RNA", at positions 323 to 2157 of the family's 2925-position model. Lineage: Bacteria; Pseudomonadati; Pseudomonadota; Gammaproteobacteria; Enterobacterales; Enterobacteriaceae. The record is from RNAcentral.